GACGAACGCUGGCGGCGUGCUUAACACAUGCAAGUCGAACGGAAAGGCCCUGCUUUUGUGGGGUGCUCGAGUGGCGAACGGGGGAGAAAAACGUGAGUAACCUGCCCUUGACAUUGGGAUAACUUCAGGAAACAGGGGCUAAUACAGGAUAGGAGCUCCUGCUGCAUGGUGGGGGUUGGAAAGUGUCGGCGGUUGGGGAUGGACUCGCGGCUUAUCAGCUGGUUGGUGGGGUAGUGGCUUACCAAGGCUUUGACGGGUAGCCGGCCUGGGAGGGUGACCGGCCACCUUGGGCCUGCGAUACGGCCCAGUCUCCUACCGGACGCAGCGGUCGGGAACCUUGCGCAACGGGCGGGCGCCUGAGGCGGCAACGCCGCGUUCGGAAUGCCGUCCUACUGGUUGUAAACCGCUGUCUCCGGUGCCGUGGCGUUAUUGACGGUACUUGGUCAGGAAGCCCCGGCUAACUACGUG
Molecule: ribosomal RNA, 468 nt
Filed under: uncultured bacterium
Lineage: Bacteria
Description: partial 16S ribosomal RNA
Rfam family: Bacterial small subunit ribosomal RNA
Source: RNAcentral